GCCCCGGUGGUGGAAUGGUAGACACGAAGGACUUAAAAUCCUUUGGCCUUACGGCUGUGCGGGUUCAAGUCCCGCCCGGGGUA
This 83-nucleotide transfer RNA is filed under the name Bacteroidetes bacterium GWE2_42_24. RNAcentral's name for it is "tRNA-Leu". It matches the Rfam family "tRNA". From Rfam's summary of the family: Transfer RNA (tRNA) molecules are approximately 80 nucleotides in length. Their secondary structure includes four short double-helical elements and three loops (D, anti-codon, and T loops). The record is from RNAcentral. Lineage: Bacteria; Pseudomonadati; Bacteroidota. RNAcentral also lists the same sequence under 4 other names.